GAUGAACGCUGGCGGCGUGCCUAAUACAUGCAAGUCGAGCGAACGGACGAGAAGCUUGCUUCGCUGAUGUUAGCGGCGGGCGGGUGAGUAACACGUGGAUAACCUACCUAUAAGACUGGGAUAACUUCGGGAAACCGUAGCUAAUACCGGAUAAUAUUUUGAACCGCAUGGUUCAAUAGUGAAAGACGGUCUUGCGGUCACUUAUAGAGGGAUCCGCGCUGCAUGAGCUAGUUGGUAAGGUAACGGCUUACCAAGGCAACGAUGCGUGUACGACCUGAGGGAGGGGUAGCCGACCUGAGAGCUGGGACACGCACACGAGGCCUGAGGGAGGGCCCAGACUCGUAUGUGCCGCAGCAGGGGAGAACCUGACACAGCGAGGCGGCGUGAGUGAUGACGGUCUUCGGUGCGUAAAACUCUGUUAUUAGGGAAGAACAUAUGUGUACGGAACCGUGCACAUCGUGACGGUACCUAAUCAGAAAGCCACGGCUAACUACGUG
This 497-nucleotide ribosomal RNA is filed under the name uncultured bacterium. Its description in RNAcentral is "partial 16S ribosomal RNA". It matches the Rfam family "Bacterial small subunit ribosomal RNA", at positions 28 to 507 of the family's 1533-position model. The record is from RNAcentral.